Molecule: long non-coding RNA, 1428 nt
Filed under: Apteryx haastii (Great spotted kiwi)
Lineage: Eukaryota; Metazoa; Chordata; Aves; Apterygiformes; Apterygidae
Description: lncRNA (ENSAHAG00000006038.1)
Source: RNAcentral
AUGCCCCCGCAACGCGGUGGCCGGUGCGGGGAGAAGAGGCUCAGCACAGCCCUGUCCUCUCCCCAGAGCAGCACCCCGCACGCAGCACGGGCCGGAGGGGACAGCCCCUCGCGGGAUAGACAGACGGACAGACGGACGGAGGAGCGACGCCUCCCGCAAUGCCGUUACCUUUGGGCCGCUCCUGCCAGUGAGGCCGACAAUACCCUGGGGGUCGGAGAGGGAGGACAGGGGUUAUCGGGGACCGGGGCAGCCCCGAUGCCGGGAAAGGGUGUGGGGGUGCCAGYCAAGCGCCCCGACCCCACGCCCUCGCCCCGGACUUACCCGGUCGCCCUGCUCGCCUUUGGGGCCGGCUGGGCCGGGGAUGCUCGGGCCAGGGGCGCCCUAGGCACAAGGAGAAGCAGGUUGGCGCAGCAGGAGGGGCCCGGCGGCCGGCGCAGCCCAGGGGCAGGCUGCGGCCCCGGGCCAGCCCCAGGCGAUACUCACGGGGGCUCCUUUAUCUCCCGCGCCGCCCUUGGGGCCAGGGGGCCCCUCCGGUCCCGAAAAGCCUCGGUCGCCCUGCAGCAGAUGAAACAGCCCCGUCAGCUUCCCAAUCCCCCCCACCAGCGCUCCCCUCCUUCUCCAUCCCGCGGCGGCACAGGGGAUGGCUGCGCAGUGCCGACCAACCCUUCGGCACCCCCAGCCUGUCCGGGAGCUGCCCCGUGCAGCGCCCCUUCCCGGGGUCGCAGCGUCCAGGGGUUCCCCCGUGCCCACGGAGGUGCCGGCAAGGGGCAGCACCCGGCGGGCACGGCACGGCACGGCACGGCCACGGUUACCUUCUCUCCUUUGACACCGGCUCCGCUGGAGGCCUGGGGGGAAGCAGAGGGAACACAGUGCUGCGCGCAGCUCCCUGCCCAGGGGACGYGUCCCCCCUGGCCUCCGGGGAGGCACCUACCCCCCAGCUCUGCCCCCAUUGCCCAGGGGUUGGGGGGUGCAGGUGGACCCCCCCGCCCAGGCAGGCGUCACUUACCGGCUUGCCGGGUUCGCCAGGCAUUCCCGGAUUGCCCUGUGGGAGAGAYGGGUGUCAGCACCAGCCCCUUCCCCAGAAGCCCAGCCAGACCUCCUCUCUUCUUCCUCACCUUCUCCCCUCGCGGGCCGGCCGGUCCCGGGGCUCCCUGUCACGGAGAGAAGAGACACCCCUCAGAGAGCCGGCGGUGGCUGGUCCCACAUGGGGGACCCUCACCGAGGACACCGCGGCCCCCAGGCACSGGCCCCUCUCCAAGGCGCUGGCAGGUCGUAGGACACCGGAGUUGGCAUCACCAAUGGCCAGACUCACCUCUCUGCCCGACAGCCCUGGGCGCCCCGGGGACCCUGCUUCACCCUGGCAGAGGAGAGGAAGAGGAAGGCGUCAGAGGCGUCACCUCACCCCACGCCAGGGACGGCUGGUCCUAG